RNAcentral lists this ribosomal RNA (477 nucleotides) under Elmerina caryae. RNAcentral's name for it is "eukaryotic LSU rRNA". It matches the Rfam family "Eukaryotic large subunit ribosomal RNA", at positions 114 to 591 of the family's 3401-position model. Lineage: Eukaryota; Fungi; Basidiomycota; Agaricomycetes; Auriculariales; Aporpiaceae. The record is from RNAcentral.
UUUGAAAUCUGGCGGUCUCAGGCCGUCCGAAUUGUAAUCUAGAGAGGUGUUUUCCGUGCCGGACCGCGUACAAGUCCCUUGGAACAGGGCGUCAUAGAGGGUGAGAAUCCCGUCCGUGACGCGGACUACCGGUGCUCUGUGAUACACCUUCAAAGAGUCGAGUUGUUUGGGAAUGCAGCUCAAAAUGGGUGGUAAAUUCCAUCUAAAGCUAAAUACAGGCGAGAGACCGAUAGCGAACAAGUACCGUGAGGGAAAGAUGAAAAGAACUUUGGAAAGAGAGUUAAACAGUACGUGAAAUUGUUGAAAGGGAAACGCUUGAAGUCAGUCGCGUCUGUCGGGACUCAGCCUUGCUUCUGCUUGGUGCACUUCUCGGUAGAUGGGCCAGCAUCAAUUUUGGUUGCCGGAAAAGGGUGGGAGGAAUGUGGCAGCUUGCUGUGUUAUAGCCUCCUAUCGUACACGGUGACUGGGAUUGAGGAC